RNAcentral lists this ribosomal RNA (253 nucleotides) under uncultured bacterium. RNAcentral describes it as "partial 16S ribosomal RNA". It matches the Rfam family "Bacterial small subunit ribosomal RNA", at positions 524 to 776 of the family's 1533-position model. RNAcentral also lists the same sequence under 2 other names. The record is from RNAcentral.
GACAGAGGGUGCAAACGUUGUUCGGAAUUACUGGGCGUAAAGCGCGUGUAGGCUGUCUUGCAAGUCGGGUGUGAAAGCCCUGGGCUCAACCUAGGAAGUGCACUCGAAACUGCAGGACUCGAGUCCUGGAGAGGAAGGCGGAAUUCUCGGUGUAGAGGUGAAAUUCGUAGAUAUCGAGAGGAACACCGGUGGCGAAGGCGGCCUUCUGGACAGUGACUGACGCUGAGACGCGAAAGCGUGGGGAGCAAACAGG